GAUGAACGCUAGCGAUAGGCUUAACACAUGCAAGUCGAGGGGCAGCAUGAUCUUAGCUUGCUAAGGUCGAUGGCGACCGGCGCACGGGUGCGUAACGCGUAUGCAACUUGCCUUACAGAGGGGGAUAACCCGUUGAAAGACGGACUAAAACCGCAUACACUUGUAUUAUUGCAUGAUAUUACAAGGAAAUAUUUAUAGCUGUAAGAUAGGCAUGCGUCCCAUUAGCUUGUUGGUGAGGUAACGGCUCACCAAGGCGACGAUGGGUAGGGGAACUGAGAGGUUUAUCCCCCACACUGGUACUGAGACACGGACCAGACUCCUACGGGAGGCAGCAGUGAGGAAUAUUGGUCAAUGGGCGAGAGCCUGAACCAGCCAAGUCGCGUGAAGGAAGACAGUCCUAAGGAUUGUAAACUUCUUUUAUACGGGAAUAACGGGCGAUACGAGUAUU
Molecule: ribosomal RNA, 448 nt
Filed under: Porphyromonas gingivalis
Lineage: Bacteria; Pseudomonadati; Bacteroidota; Bacteroidia; Bacteroidales; Porphyromonadaceae
Description: bacterial SSU rRNA
Rfam family: Bacterial small subunit ribosomal RNA
Source: RNAcentral